CAUAAACGUACUGUAAGUUCACAUGUCGGUCUCGAAGGUAAUUUUCCCUUCUUCCGUGGAGCUUCGUUUCUACCCUAAAAUCUCCAACAAGGCAACAGAUGCAGAGGGCGGGCAUCGAGGGACCAGGCCUUAUAUCUCCUGAAGGUUUAAAGAAGUUCUUUGGAAGGCAACUGAAAAGGCUUUGUAGUUUGCAACACAGGUACAUGGCCGAAAGUGCAAGUGGAACAUAACUAAAUGAUGCUUUCUGUGAACAGUUGCAGUCUCCUAAAAGUAACCACAAAUAGGUGAAAGCUGGUCAGUAGUGAUUCUGAUUGAUCGUAUAUGACAUAUUGUCUCCAU
Molecule: long non-coding RNA, 339 nt
Organism: Musa acuminata AAA Group (dessert banana)
Lineage: Eukaryota; Viridiplantae; Streptophyta; Magnoliopsida; Zingiberales; Musaceae
Exons: 3
Source: RefSeq, a predicted model, not a curated record